This 69-nucleotide transfer RNA is filed under the name Trichonephila inaurata madagascariensis. RNAcentral's name for it is "tRNA-Arg". The stretch from base 4 to 61 matches the Rfam family "tRNA", at positions 8 to 63 of the family's 71-position model. Rfam says of the family: Transfer RNA (tRNA) molecules are approximately 80 nucleotides in length. Their secondary structure includes four short double-helical elements and three loops (D, anti-codon, and T loops). The record is from RNAcentral. Lineage: Eukaryota; Metazoa; Arthropoda; Arachnida; Araneae; Nephilidae.
CUUUAGCGCAAUGGAUAGCGCGUUGGAUUUCUAAUCCAAAGGUCAUGGGUUCGAAUCCCACCUGAAAGG